GUUCUUUAGCGUCUACUGGCUGUUGGCACUAGGUUGUAAAGGAAGGAUCUGGGCUUUGACAGGAAGGAAGGAAACACAAGUUUCCCGGGGACCAGCAGUGGGAAAAGAGGAGGAACUGACAAAGCAAGGAGAGAGGGAAGACUUGGAGCAGAAAGCCAGGGCUCCUGGUGGGUGCUGAUAUUCAUUGACUCCUUUCAGCUGUGAUGCUUUCAGAGGUGGAUGCUCAGAUGCUUUCUCAUUCAUCAUUGAAGAUUUAUUGUCAUGACAACCCUGUGACAUUGCUACCGUUCCCAUAUUACAGAUAAGCAAGCUGAGUCUCUCCUAUCUCACACCUGUGUCAGAGGUCAGUCUUUCAAUUUUCACUUCCUAAAAAGUAUCACUUUUGAUAGUCUUCAUUAAUCCCACAUGUCACCCCUGCAGAACAUACUGAGUAAAUUGAACGUCUUGCUUUAGAGGUAGGAAGUGAGACAGUGAGACUAAGUUAUAAUGGGGGAAGGAGGACGAGCAGGCAUCCUAAGAACCAUACCUCAUCUUGCUAAUAUUUUAAGUUUUUCUGAGUUCUAUCACGAGACGGAACUGUAUGAUAAAAUGCUGUGCUGUUAUUAGAAAUGAUAAUGUGUCUGUGAACUAAAUCCUCUUAAAAGGAGAAAGCAGUGAAAAAGUAAGGUAUUUUAAUGAUGCCAAAAGAUCCUAUUGGGGUAAGAGUCACAGUCUGACAAUAUGAAAAUGUAACAAGAGUGUAUUUUGGCAUCAAAAAUACAGGGCUCUUCUCCUGGGCUGAUGAGUUAGGAAUAGUUUUGGUUAGGUGCUCAUUCAAAC
This 819-nucleotide long non-coding RNA is filed under the name Marmota monax (woodchuck). Lineage: Eukaryota; Metazoa; Chordata; Mammalia; Rodentia; Sciuridae. The record is from RNAcentral.